This 565-nucleotide ribosomal RNA is filed under the name uncultured organism. RNAcentral's name for it is "bacterial SSU rRNA". It matches the Rfam family "Bacterial small subunit ribosomal RNA", at positions 934 to 1493 of the family's 1533-position model. The record is from RNAcentral.
GGAGCGUGUGGUUUAAUUCGAUGCGUACUUAGAAGAACACUGACUUGGGAUGGGACAUUUAGAGUGGUAGCAGACGUGAAAGCGGAGAGACCUUUUGGGGAGCCUAGACAGGUCCAUGCAUGACAGUCGUCUAGCUCGUCCACGUGAGGUCUCCGAGGUUAAGUCCCGUAACGAGCGAAACCCUUGCCCUCCGUUAUACGUGUCAGAGGGGACCGCCGGCGUGUAAAUCGCGCCGAAGGUCGGGAUGACCUCAAAUCAGCAUGGCCUUUAUAUCCAGGGCUACACACACGCUUCAAUGACCAGUACAAAGGCCAGCGAAUCCGCGAGGUGGAGCGAAUCCCAACAUACCUGCGUUGUACUUAGGAUUGCAGCUUGCAACCCGCAUCGCAUCGAAGCUGGACGUGCUAGUAGCCGCGCGUCAGCACUCCCCCGGUGAUACGUCUCCCAGGGUUUGACACACCGCCCGUUAUAUCAUGGGAGUCGAUUACGCCUGGAGCCGGUGGCCUAGCUCCCAAGAGACGGCCAUGUCUAAGGCACGCUUAUAGCCUGCGAUGAAGUCGAAGCA